AGAUAUGAAAUACUAAGAAUUUAUGUCUGGUGAAAACCUUUUGAAUCACACUUGGGCAGCUAGAAUUACAGUACAUUUGUGUUCACAAGACCAAGAAGAUCCUGAUUUCUGUGAAAAAGAACCUUGGCAACAACUCUUGAUCCCUUAAAUAGUAACAAACAACAGCCACAAAAGAACUUGGAUCAAACCAGGACUAAGCAGCUGCAGCUCUUUUCAUUUUCCCUAUCUUUUGGGUAAAAUAAUUGUUGAAUUAUGAUAGAACCUUUUGCAUUUUGGCAUCUCUCCUCCUAAUGCUUCCGUCCACUCUUGGAAUUUUUCCUCCAACUUCGUUCUCUUUCAUUGCAUUUUCCAGAAGUUCCACCUGCCCCUACACAAAAUCCUUGGAAUUGGCAAGAAUCGCCUCUUACACUACUACCCGACUUCAUUUCACCUGAACUUCUCUUGUUGGGAAAGGUUAAAAAAGUCUCACUUGAAGAUGUAGAUGAUGUAGUAGAGCACAUUGAAGGAGUUCCAG
This 514-nucleotide unclassified non-coding RNA is filed under the name Hevea brasiliensis (rubber tree). The record is from RNAcentral. Lineage: Eukaryota; Viridiplantae; Streptophyta; Magnoliopsida; Malpighiales; Euphorbiaceae.